Molecule: ribosomal RNA, 2906 nt
Filed under: Salmonella enterica subsp. enterica serovar Weltevreden
Lineage: Bacteria; Pseudomonadati; Pseudomonadota; Gammaproteobacteria; Enterobacterales; Enterobacteriaceae
Description: bacterial LSU rRNA
Rfam family: Bacterial large subunit ribosomal RNA
Source: RNAcentral
UUAAGCGACUAAGCGUACACGGUGGAUGCCCUGGCAGUCAGAGGCGAUGAAGGGCGUGCUAAUCUGCGAUAAGCGCCGGUAAGGUGAUAUGAACCGUUAUAACCGGCGAUACCCGAAUGGGGAAACCCAGUGUGAUUCGUCACACUAUCAUUAACUGAAUCCAUAGGUUAAUGAGGCGAACCGGGGGAACUGAAACAUCUAAGUACCCCGAGGAAAAGAAAUCAACCGAGAUUCCCCCAGUAGCGGCGAGCGAACGGGGAGGAGCCCAGAGCCUGAAUCAGCAUGUGUGUUAGUGGAAGCGUCUGGAAAGGCGCGCGAUACAGGGUGACAGCCCCGUACACAAAAGCGCAUGUGCUGUGAGCUCGAUGAGUAGGGCGGGACACGUGGUAUCCUGUCUGAAUAUGGGGGGACCAUCCUCCAAGGCUAAAUACUCCUGACUGACCGAUAGUGAACCAGUACCGUGAGGGAAAGGCGAAAAGAACCCCGGCGAGGGGAGUGAAAAAGAACCUGAAACCGUGUACGUACAAGCAGUGGGAGCACAGGUUUACCUGUGUGACUGCGUACCUUUUGUAUAAUGGGUCAGCGACUUAUAUUCUGUAGCAAGGUUAACCGCAUAGGGGAGCCGGAGGGAAACCGAGUCUUAACCGGGCGUUAAGUUGCAGGGUAUAGACCCGAAACCCGGUGAUCUAGCCAUGGGCAGGUUGAAGGUUGGGUAACACUAACUGGAGGACCGAACCGACUAAUGUUGAAAAAUUAGCGGAUGACCUGUGGCUGGGGGUGAAAGGCCAAUCAAACCGGGAGAUAGCUGGUUCUCCCCGAAAGCUAUUUAGGUAGCGCCUCGUGAAUUCAUCUCCGGGGGUAGAGCACUGUUUCGGCUAGGGGGCCAUCCCGGCUUACCAACCCGAUGCAAACUGCGAAUACCGGAGAAUGUUAUCACGGGAGACACACGGCGGGUGCUAACGUCCGUCGUGAAGAGGGAAACAACCCAGACCGCCAGCUAAGGUCCCAAAGUCAUGGUUAAGUGGGAAACGAUGUGGGAAGGCCCAGACAGCCAGGAUGUUGGCUUAGAAGCAGCCAUCAUUUAAAGAAAGCGUAAUAGCUCACUGGUCGAGUCGGCCUGCGCGGAAGAUGUAACGGGGCUAAACCAUGCACCGAAGCUGCGGCAGCGACGCUUAUGCGUUGUUGGGUAGGGGAGCGUUCUGUAAGCCUGCGAAGGUGGCCUGUGAGGGUUGCUGGAGGUAUCAGAAGUGCGAAUGCUGACAUAAGUAACGAUAAAGCGGGUGAAAAGCCCGCUCGCCGGAAGACCAAGGGUUCCUGUCCAACGUUAAUCGGGGCAGGGUGAGUCGACCCCUAAGGCGAGGCCGAAAGGCGUAGUCGAUGGGAAACGGGUUAAUAUUCCCGUACUUGGUGUUACUGCGAAGGGGGGACGGAGAAGGCUAUGUUGGCCGGGCGACGGUUGUCCCGGUUUAAGCGUGUAGGUGUGUGUUCCAGGUAAAUCCGGUUCACUUUAACACUGAGGCGUGACGACGAGGCACUACGGUGCUGAAGCAACAAAUGCCCUGCUUCCAGGAAAAGCCUCUAAGCAUCAGGUAACAUCAAAUCGUACCCCAAACCGACACAGGUGGUCAGGUAGAGAAUACCAAGGCGCUUGAGAGAACUCGGGUGAAGGAACUAGGCAAAAUGGUGCCGUAACUUCGGGAGAAGGCACGCUGACACGUAGGUGAAGUGAUUUACUCACGGAGCUGAAGUCAGUCGAAGAUACCAGCUGGCUGCAACUGUUUAUUAAAAACACAGCACUGUGCAAACACGAAAGUGGACGUAUACGGUGUGACGCCUGCCCGGUGCCGGAAGGUUAAUUGAUGGGGUCAGCGCAAGCGAAGCUCCUGAUCGAAGCCCCGGUAAACGGCGGCCGUAACUAUAACGGUCCUAAGGUAGCGAAAUUCCUUGUCGGGUAAGUUCCGACCUGCACGAAUGGCGUAAUGAUGGCCAGGCUGUCUCCACCCGAGACUCAGUGAAAUUGAACUCGCUGUGAAGAUGCAGUGUACCCGCGGCAAGACGGAAAGACCCCGUGAACCUUUACUAUAGCUUGACACUGAACAUUGAGCCUUGAUGUGUAGGAUAGGUGGGAGGCUUUGAAGUGUGGACGCCAGUCUGCAUGGAGCCGACCUUGAAAUACCACCCUUUAAUGUUUGAUGUUCUAACGUGGACCCGUAAUCCGGGUUGCGGACAGUGUCUGGUGGGUAGUUUGACUGGGGCGGUCUCCUCCUAAAGAGUAACGGAGGAGCACGAAGGUUGGCUAAUCCUGGUCGGACAUCAGGAGGUUAGUGCAAUGGCAUAAGCCAGCUUGACUGCGAGCGUGACGGCGCGAGCAGGUGCGAAAGCAGGUCAUAGUGAUCCGGUGGUUCUGAAUGGAAGGGCCAUCGCUCAACGGAUAAAAGGUACUCCGGGGAUAACAGGCUGAUACCGCCCAAGAGUUCAUAUCGACGGCGGUGUUUGGCACCUCGAUGUCGGCUCAUCACAUCCUGGGGCUGAAGUAGGUCCCAAGGGUAUGGCUGUUCGCCAUUUAAAGUGGUACGCGAGCUGGGUUUAGAACGUCGUGAGACAGUUCGGUCCCUAUCUGCCGUGGGCGCUGGAGAACUGAGGGGGGCUGCUCCUAGUACGAGAGGACCGGAGUGGACGCAUCACUGGUGUUCGGGUUGUCAUGCCAAUGGCACUGCCCGGUAGCUAAAUGCGGAAGAGAUAAGUGCUGAAAGCAUCUAAGCACGAAACUUGCCCCGAGAUGAGUUCUCCCUGAGACUUAGAGUCUCCUGAAGGAACGUUGAAGACGACGACGUUGAUAGGCCGGGUGUGUAAGCGCAGCGAUGCGUUGAGCUAACCGGUACUAAUGAACCGUGAGGCUUAACCUU